UGCCCUCGGGACGGGAAUACCCCCGGGAAACUGGGGCUAAUCCCCGAUAGGUGAAGAACUCUGGAAUGAUUCUCCGCCCAAAAGACGCUUAAAUCAUGCUUUUAGGCGCCGCCCAAGGAUGGGGCCGCGACCGAUCAGGUAGUUGGUGAGGCAACGGCUCACCAAGCCUUUAACCGGUGCGGGCCGUGGGAGCGGAAGCCCGGAGAUGGGCACUGAGACAAGGGCCCAGGCCCUACGGGGCGCAGCAGUCGCGAAAACUUUGCAAUACACGAGAGUGUGACAGGGCUAUCCCGAGUGCCAUCCGCUGAGGAAGGCUUUUACCCAGUAUAGAAAGCUGGGAGAAUAAGGAGAGGGCAAGCCUGGUGUCAGCCGCCGCGGUAAUACCAGCUCUCCGAGUGGUGUGGAUGUUUAUUGGGCCUAAAGCAUCCGUAGCUGGCCAAGUUAGUCCCCUGUUAAAUCCACCGAAUUAAUCGUUGGAGUGCGGGGGAUACUGC
RNAcentral lists this ribosomal RNA (494 nucleotides) under uncultured archaeon. RNAcentral describes it as "bacterial SSU rRNA". It matches the Rfam family "Archaeal small subunit ribosomal RNA", at positions 110 to 587 of the family's 1478-position model. The record is from RNAcentral.